GGCUGUGGCUCAGUGGUAAAAUGCUCGCCUAGCAUGUGUGAGGAACUGGGUUCAAUCCUCAGCACCA
RNAcentral lists this transfer RNA (67 nucleotides) under Marmota monax (woodchuck). Its description in RNAcentral is "tRNA.Ala". Lineage: Eukaryota; Metazoa; Chordata; Mammalia; Rodentia; Sciuridae. The record is from RNAcentral.